RNAcentral lists this ribosomal RNA (553 nucleotides) under uncultured bacterium. RNAcentral's name for it is "bacterial SSU rRNA". It matches the Rfam family "Bacterial small subunit ribosomal RNA", at positions 777 to 1345 of the family's 1533-position model. The record is from RNAcentral.
AAUAGAUACCCGGGUAGUCCACGCCGUAAACGAUGGGUGCUAGCUGUUAUGCGUAUCGACCCGUGUAGUAGCGAAGCUAACGCGUUAAGCAUCCCGCCUGGGGAGUACGAACGCGAGUUUAAAACUCAAAGGAAUUGACGGGGACCCGCACAAGCGGUGGAGCGUGUUCUUUAAUUCGAGGCUAAGCGAAGAACCUUACCAGGGCUUGACAUCCUUGGAAUUUCUCCGAAAGGAGAGAGUACUUUAUUGGACCAAGUGACAGGUGCUGCAUGGCCGUCGUCAGCUCGUGUCGUGAGAUGUUUGGUUAAGUCCAUUAACGAGCGCAACCCUUAUGAAUAGUUGUAUUUUUCUAUUCAGACUGCCCCGGUAACGGGGAGGAAGGGGGGAUGAUGUCAGGUCAGUAUUGCCCUUACGCCCUGGGCUAGAAACGCGCUACAAUGGCUGGUACAAUGCGCUGCCAACCCGCGAGGGGAGCAAAUCGCAUCAAAGCCGGUCCCAGUUCGGAUAAGAGGCUGAAACUCGCCUCUUUGAAGCCGGAAUCGCUAGUAAUCGU